Molecule: long non-coding RNA, 1569 nt
Filed under: Homo sapiens (human)
Lineage: Eukaryota; Metazoa; Chordata; Mammalia; Primates; Hominidae
Description: non-protein coding lnc-NKD1-2:1
Source: RNAcentral
GAUGGGGUCACGUGGCCAACCUGCCGCAAGGGAAAUAAAUAAAGAGGUUAUACUGAAUAAUGAGGAAUCAAAGGAAGAAGAAGAAAGAGAGAGGAAGGAAGGUUGGAAGGAAGGAAGGAGGGAAAAUUAGAAGGGGAAACCAUGAUUGCUGGUGAGGUUUUGAGCACAUUUUCCUGCAGGCUGGUAUGGGUGAGAGGUUUGGUCUUGUUUGCAAAUCUUCUGAAGGCCAUUCCAGAGGAGCAGUUGCCACUGCCCCAUCCCCUGAGCUCUGAGCGUGGGGGUUCCCCUGGGGAGACUCCUGGUGAGAGGAUGCCGAUUUCUGCUGAUCUGUCACUGGGUACCGAGGACUGGGUGUGUUUAAGGCAGACAGCCAGGUGAGGAUCCCAGCUACUGGGGCCUCGGCUGCAGAGCCCCCAGUGAGACAGCUGCUGUGGCAUGCUGCCUCUGCUACACACUCAAAAAACACUUGAGGACAUGACUUUUCCCUCUCAAGUUUGAUGGGAUCACUCUGUUCCUUCCAGACCCGACUUGUUCUCUACUAGAAUACAACAAAUCACUAGGCGUGGUUGCACAUCCCUGUAAUCCCAGCUACUAAGGAGGCUGAGGCACUAAAAAUACAAAAAAUUAGCUGGGCAUGGUGGCAGGUGCCUGUAAUCCCAGCUACUCGGGGGGCUGAGGCAGAAGAUUUCCCCUCUGUGAGUCUCAGUUUGCCCGUGUCUGCAAUGGGGUUAAUUACAUCAUAAGACACCGGCUGUUGUGAGCAGCGAGAUAAUCCCCAAGGCUGCUGACAGUGAGAAGGACUGAAAAGUGAAGGAGGAAGCACUGAGUGGGUGCCAGGAUAAGGAGGUGAGAGUAGGCAUGCCAAAGUUCCUUGUCCCUGCUGGCUCAGUUCCCGAACCUGUAUAGUGGGACUGUCAGGUUCAAGGAGAGGGACAUUGGUUGCAGGACUCACAGGGUUGCAAGGACUUUUGAUCAUUUUUUCAGGCUGUCUGCUGGGUGGGAAGACACCCAGGCUGAGAUCACAGCAAAGGCGUGACCUACGACAGGAAUUCUUUCUGUGGUAUCCCAUUUGAAUGGGCCUGAUAAGGUUUGGAUGUGUGUCCCAUCCAAAUCUCAUGCUGAAAUAUGAUCCCCAGUGUCGGCGGUGGGACCUGGUGGGAGGCAUUUGGGUCCUGGAGGCAGAUCCCUGAUGAAUGGCUUGGUGCCUUCCCAUGGUAAUGAAUAGGUUCUCUGUAGGUUCAUAGGAGAGCUGGUUGUUUAGAAGAGCCUGGCAUCUCUCUCUGUCUCUAUCUUGCCCUCUCUCUCACCAUGGGAUGCCCGCUCCCCUUCACCUUCCACUGCAAGUGAAAGCUUCCUGAGGUCCUCACUAGAAGCAGAGGCCAGGACUAUGCUUCCUGAACAGCCUGCAGAACGCUGAGCCAAAUACAUCUUUUUUCUUUAUGAAUUACCCAGCCUCAGGUAUUCCCUUAUAGUGAUGCAAAAUGGACCAACACAGGGCCUCAGUUUCCCAGUCUGUACUUGCGGCCUCUAAUAGAGACUCUUCCAGUGUUGGCCUGUGAUGAGGCUGGA